GAGAAGAUUGAGUUGAAAACUCUUCUAAAAAGAACAAGAAAAUAGUUAUUGCAUAGGAGAAAACUCAAAGAGUAUUUUUAGUUAAAUCAAAAUUGGUUGUCACUACCGCUUUUUGUACAAGAAGGGAGGAUCCAAUAUAUUAGAGAAAAUGGAAAAAAUAAAAUGCAUAUUGUAUGAGCAAAUUAGUUGAGACUCAAAACAAUAUAUGUUAAGAAAAGG
RNAcentral lists this long non-coding RNA (219 nucleotides) under Gossypium barbadense (sea-island cotton). RNAcentral describes it as "long non-coding RNA (GBAR_LNC004136)". The record is from RNAcentral. Lineage: Eukaryota; Viridiplantae; Streptophyta; Magnoliopsida; Malvales; Malvaceae.